Molecule: long non-coding RNA, 278 nt
Filed under: Homo sapiens (human)
Lineage: Eukaryota; Metazoa; Chordata; Mammalia; Primates; Hominidae
Description: non-protein coding lnc-GCHFR-1:1
Source: RNAcentral
CAUGGCCAUGGAAGCUCAAGGAAGAAGUUAAGACUGAGAACAACGAUCAUAUUUGUUUGAAGGUGGUGUGGCAGGAUAGUUCUGUGGCGCAGUUUAAGAGGCAUACACUGCCUAGUAAACUGAUGAGAGCCUAUUGUGAAUAACAGGAUUUGUCAAUGAGGCAGAUCAGAUUCGGAUUUGAUGGGCAGUCAAUCAAUGAAACAGACAUACCUGCACAGUUGGUAAUGGAGGAUGAAUACACAAUUGACGUUUUCCUGCAGGAGACAGGUGUCUACUAA